UUUGACAAGGCCAACAAACACCACUUCUUACACAGCCUGGCCCUGUUAGGGGUGCCCCAUUGCAGAAAGCCACUCUGGGCGGCCUGAGCACGCUCACUGACACCGUUUGGCGGCCUGUCACCCGCGUGGCUGGGGCACCUGCAGAAACUGCUGUCGCUGCGAGGUGCCCGUGUGGGUCACCGCUGUGCCAGGGAGAGAAGACGGCGAGGUCGCCCCUGGGAGGCAGAAGGCGAGCCAGGAGCCAGUCCUGGAAGCCAAUGAAGGCGCCGCCCAAGAGACCCUGGGCCGGCGCCGGGCGCAGCUGCCUCUCCGUCUUUGUGUCUGUCUCUGUGUCUGUCUGGCUAUCUCCGAGUUUGCCUCCGCUUCCAGAACUAAGCCACCCAGACACCAUCAUCUCGAAAACCCCAGCCCUUCUCCCAUGGCAGGCUACUUGCCCCCCAAAGGCUACGCCCCUUCGCCCCCACCUCCCUACCCUGUCACCCCUGGGUACCCGGAGCCGGCGCUACAUCCUGGGCCCGGGCAGGCGCCAGUGCCCGCCCAGGUACCUGCCCCAGCUCCCGGCUUCGCCCUCUUCCCCUCGCCUGGCCCCGUGGCCUUGGGGUCUGCUGCCCCCUUCUUGCCACUGCCAGGGGUGCCUUCUGGCCUCGAAUUCCUGGUGCAGAUUGAUCAGAUUUUGAUUCACCAGAAGGCUGAGCGAGUGGAAAAUGGAAGUACAGGCUCCACCAGGCACCACCAUUGGCCACGUGCUACAGACCUGGCAUCCCUUCCUCCCCAAGUUCUCCAUCCAGGAUGCCGAUCGCCAGACAGUCUUGCGAGUGGUGGGGCCCUGCUGGACCUGUGGCUGUGGCACAGACACCAACUUUGAGGUGAAGACUCGGGAUGAAUCCCGCAGUGUGGGCCGCAUCAGCAAGCAGUGGGGGGGCCUGGUCCGAGAAGCCCUCACAGAUGCAG
RNAcentral lists this long non-coding RNA (951 nucleotides) under Homo sapiens (human). Its description in RNAcentral is "non-protein coding lnc-PLSCR3-1:6". The record is from RNAcentral. Lineage: Eukaryota; Metazoa; Chordata; Mammalia; Primates; Hominidae.